Molecule: long non-coding RNA, 2608 nt
Organism: Acanthopagrus latus (yellowfin seabream)
Lineage: Eukaryota; Metazoa; Chordata; Actinopteri; Spariformes; Sparidae
Exons: 3
Source: RefSeq, a predicted model, not a curated record
GUUUUCUGUUUGCUCUUGUCCAGGCUCUUCCUGAAUGAUAUCUGGAUUUGACACUGAGGACAUUGUGGUUGACGUUGGAUGUUGGUUUAAGGGUAGCAUGAACCGUAAAGGUUACUUGUAAGCUAACAAGUCUGCAGAUGUUGAAAGUCCAGGCACCUACAAUCCAGCAACCUUGGCCAAGCAAUACAAGACACUACAACAGGGGUACUCAAAUAUAAAUCUUAAAUGACCACAAAGAUUUAUUUCAAUGACUCAAAGGUCAUCCGUCCUCCAUUCCCUAACUUCUGCAUCAGCCCCCUCGGUAUCGCAACCAGGAAAUAUUAUAUCAAAGAAGCGCAUCAUCAACAAUCUUUAAGCACCCCAUGGCAGUACCAUCCCCAGCAUCAAUAGCUUGAUCCCGAGUGAGGACUUCCCUAUUCACUACACCACCAUCAACCAUGCCAUCGCCUUUAUCAAACUCGCCGGGAAAGGGUCACGGCUCUCAAAACAGACAUCACCAGUGCUUUCAAGUCCUCCCUAUUCACCCCGACUUCUGGUGUUUCUUCAGCAUCUGCAGGCGUGGUGCAUAUUACUCCGCCGUUAGGCUCACCUUCAGUUGAAAAGCAGCCUAAACUCUUCAGCAACCUACCAGAAGUACUCGGCUGAGUCCUGUCUAACAACCUUGGAACCUUGGACGAUUUCUCUUUGUCCCCCCAUCGCCACCCACUUCCAGCCCAGUUACCCUGACUUCAGUCUUAUCUGACCUUGGGGUCCCAUUGUCGCAGAGAAAACAAAGGGCCCCUCCACAUCCCUCGAGUUUCUUGGAAUUACUCUCAACAUAAACAAGUUUCAGGCAUCAUUCCCAGUUGGAAAGCUCAACCAAAUCUUCUUCUGCGCCCCGUGCUGCACCAAACAUCAACUCUGUCCCUUCUUUGCCACCUCAACUUUGCCUUAUGCAUCAUCCCCCAAGGGCGAGCCUUUAACCUACUAUCCAUCGCUUCUUCCGUCCCAUCACUCUUGACCUAGCUCGAGCCUUGCCAAAAUCCGUCCGUGACUCUACCUUCUCACCAAUUGGAGCGGAAUCACAUUCUUUUACGACGACAAACCGACUCACCAGCACAACAUACAUCCGUACAUCGAUGCUGCUCCUUAAGCUGGUUUUGGGGAUUCAUACAAUGGAAGAUGGUCUGCAGCAGAAUUGCCCCCAGAGCUCACUAACGAAGCCAGAAGUUCAGAAGUUUGGCAACUCACGCAGAUACGUGCCAGUCAGACACUGACAUUCAACUCGUAAAUCCUGCGCAAUACCCCUGAUAAGUGACUCCCAGAGCUCCAUCAUCAACAGCCUCUCACCCUCGUCCCUCUCUUCCUACUGGACAGCUUGGGAAAAGCUUUCAUGACUUUCAAGACUAUACAACAUAACUUUUGCGUCGUUUGAUCUCAUCACCUCAACUUCUUCAGUACUCAUGCCCAUUCCAACAUGGCAAAAAACAGACAUCAUCAAGCUUACCUUAGUGGUAUAAGCUUCUUCCCCAAGUUAAUAACUGGCAGUUUGGGCCUGGCCCCCAGCCAUCCCCAGAUAACUUCCCUCUUCAAAGGAUUCCUAUGCCAAGAGCCAGCAAAAAACCCUCGUCAUCUUCCUCUCACCGUCGACUUGCUGUCCAUCUGCCUCCACACAAUCCGUUCCGGGUACGGCACUCCUCAAGUCGCCCAAACCCUUGAAGCCAUGUUCUUGCUAGUGUUCCACUUAAAGCGAACCAAAACCAAUCAAUUUGGUCCGCCUGCACCCGUCUUCUUCUUCAAGUUCCAAUCACUACUGAAUCCUUUCAAAACCCUUGCAAACUUCUUGCAAUUCCGUAAAUCUCAGACCACAACAAUGACAGAUCCUCUCUUCAUCUCCGAAUUCGGCCAAGUGGCUACUCGAUUCUGGUUCCACCAUCACUUUCGCCAUGUGCUCUCAUUGUCUGGUAUUUUGCCCGACAACUACUCCGGGCACUCCUUCAGAAUCGUAGCUGCCACUUCAGCCUCCCCUAAUGGCAUCCCAGAACACCUCAUACAUCUCAUGGGCCCCUGGUCCUCCUAAACGUACCACCGCUACAUCCGUUCAGAUCUCAAAGAUCUCAGAUCCGCUCAAUCUCUUGUCAAGUAAUUGAAAGUUUUGGGGGGUCCAUCGCUGCCUGGGAGCAGCGGCAGAUUCUCUACAAGAAUCCCCACAAGGCACUUGAAGAACUCAAAAGAACCAAGAUCUUCGACACUUCGUUUUCCUUUGUCACUAAUAAAUCCUUAAACGCACCUCGUUGACAGUGUGGUCCUUGCUAGUGAACUGAAGCUUAAUUGGUGAAGUUUCAGGAGCAGGACCACACCUCAACAGCGCCAACUUCCGCAUUUCUAUAAAUAACCACCUGACCCUCUCCUCUGCUUUGCUCUUGUAUUCUGCGCCCCUCCGCCCCACCCCAUUUCUCUCUCCCUGUUUCUUCUUUUCUCUCCUCUCCUUUGUAGGUCCAUGAGGGGAUCCGUCACUGCCCGGGAGCGGCGGUGCAUUCUCUACAAGAAUUCCCACAACGCACUUGAAGAACUCAAAAGAACCUACGUCGUCUACACUUCAUUUUCCUUUGUCACUAAUAAAUCCUUA